UUGAAAGGGAAACGAUUGAAGUCAGUCGNGCUGGCGCGAAAUCAACCUUCUCGUCUUGAGAUCACAUGGCGUGGCGAGCCUCAAAACCGUCACGAAGCGUGAACUCUUGGUGAAAUGGAGCACUUUCGUGUCCGCUGGUUAACAUCAAUUUCGAACGUCAUAAAAAGGCUGGAGGGAUGUGGCUCCCUUCGGGAGUGUUAUAACCUUUAGCGGAAUGUGGUGUUCGGGAUUGAGGAUUGCAACGAAUACCUUUAGGGCUGUUCCACCUGGCUUCUCUUUGGUAUCCUGGUGACGACAGCUUGCUGACGUCGUUAGGAUUCGCCUUUGAACAGGCUAGAGUGUGAGCAAAUUCGUUAAGGAUGUUGACGUA
Molecule: ribosomal RNA, 370 nt
Filed under: uncultured Glomeromycotina
Lineage: Eukaryota; Fungi; Glomeromycota
Description: LSU rRNA
Source: RNAcentral